AACACAUGCAAGUCGAGCGGCAGCGACAACAAAGAUUCUCGGAUGAUUGUUGGGCGGCGAGCGGCGGACGGGUGAGUAAUGGCUGGGAACCUGCCUGACGUGGGGGAUAACAGUUGGAAACGACUGCUAAUACCGUAUGAUGUCUUCGGACCAAAGAGGAGGACUUUCGGGCUUCUCGCGUCGGGAUGGGCCCAGUUGGGAUUAGCUAGUUGGUGAGGUAAUGGCUCACCAAGGCGACGAUCCCUAGCUGGUUUGAGAGGAUGAUCAGCCACACUGGAACUGAGACACGGUCCAGACUCCUACGGGAGGCAGCAGUGGGGAAUAUUGCACAAUGGGCGCAAGCCUGAUGCAGCCAUGCCGCGUGUGUGAAGAAGGCCUUCGGGUUGUAAAGCACUUUCAGCAGUGAGGAAGGGUAAUGAGUUAAUACCUUAUUAUCUUGACGUUAGCUGCAGAAGAAGCACCGGCUAACUCCGUGCCAGCAGCCGCGGUAAUACGGAGGGUGCGAGCGUUAAUCGGAAUUACUGGGCGUAAAGCGCAUGCAGGCGGUUUGUUAAGUCAGAUGUGAAAGCCCGGGGCUCAACCUCGGAACUGCAUUUGAAACUGGUGAACUAGAGUGCUGUAGAGGGGGGUAGAAUUUCAGGUGUAGCGGUGAAAUGCGUAGAGAUCUGAAGGAAUACCAGUGGCGAAGGCGGCCCCCUGGACAGACACUGACACUCAGAUGCGAAAGCGUGAGGAGCAAACAGGAUUAGAUACCCUGGUAGUCCACGCCGUAAACGAUGUCUACUUGGAGGUUGUGGCCUUGAGCCGUGGCUUUCGGAGCUAACGCGUUAAGUAGACCGCCUGGGGAGUACGGUCGC
RNAcentral lists this ribosomal RNA (857 nucleotides) under uncultured Vibrio sp. RNAcentral's name for it is "bacterial SSU rRNA". It matches the Rfam family "Bacterial small subunit ribosomal RNA", at positions 50 to 889 of the family's 1533-position model. Lineage: Bacteria; Pseudomonadati; Pseudomonadota; Gammaproteobacteria; Vibrionales; Vibrionaceae. The record is from RNAcentral.